GUUGGUACUCAGUGGACCCUGCCAGUGGGGGUUGUGCGCUGGUGUUUGUGGACCUUGCCAGUGGAGGUUGUGCGCUGGUAUUUGUGGACCCUGUCAGUGGGGGUUGUGCGCUGGUAUUCUGUGGACCCCGCCAAUGGGGGUUAAACGUUGGUCAUAGUCAAGGCUGUUGAGUUACGAGUGUUUUAAAUCGAAUCGGAUUUAUGAUUAUAUUAUAUGUGAAUAUUUGAAAAUAUUUGAUUUGUAUUAAAUUAGCAUGAAAUAUACUCUUAUGUUUAUUUGCAGCAUUAUUCUUGAAAAUUAUAUGAUAUCUGAAUUAUCCAGUUGAGAUAUUUGUUACUUACUGGGCUGUCUAGCUCAUUACCUUUCUUUCUAUUUUUCAGAUUCAGAUAAUUAAUUUCGAGCGUGGAAAGAAAUAUUGGG
RNAcentral lists this long non-coding RNA (420 nucleotides) under Elaeis guineensis (African oil palm). Its description in RNAcentral is "long non-coding RNA (EGUI_LNC039222)". Lineage: Eukaryota; Viridiplantae; Streptophyta; Magnoliopsida; Arecales; Arecaceae. The record is from RNAcentral.